CUACUGAGGGUGCAAGCGUUAAUCGGAAUUACUGGGCGUAAAGCGCACGUAGGCGGUUUAUUAAGUCAGAUGUGAAAGCCCUGGGCUUAACCUGGGAACUGCAUUUGAGACUGGUAGGCUAGAGUAUGGUAGAGGAUAGUGGAAUUCCGGGUGUAGCGGUGAAAUGCGUAGAUAUCCGGAGGAAAAUCAGUGGCGAAGGCGGCUAUCUGGACCAAUACUGACGCUGAGGUGCGAAAGCGUGGGGAGCAAACAGAAUUAGAUACCCGAGUAGUCC
Molecule: ribosomal RNA, 274 nt
Filed under: uncultured bacterium
Lineage: Bacteria
Description: partial 16S ribosomal RNA
Rfam family: Bacterial small subunit ribosomal RNA
Source: RNAcentral